GUACCAACAGUCUGUGGCUGCGACGGGUUCUAGCGGUUUCACCUGGGCCUGGGAUCUGGUUUCUGGACUUCUGCUGAGCCAACGUGAGGAUUCCCACCGUUUAGGAAGACCAAUCUGUGAGGAGUUUGUUUCUGGACAGGAUUAUUAAGGAGAGAAGAUGUCUUUAAAGCGCCGACUGGUCUCCAUGUUUCUGUGCUGUGUUUACUGUGUGGCCUCACUCUUCUGCCUCCACCCAAACCGCAGCAAUAUUAUCUCAGUGGGAGCGCGGAGUUUGUCGACCGUCUUCCAACAACUUUACCAGCGUGUCAUCCGAAUGCUGAGAACCACACUGUGACUUCACACCACUUCCUGUGUUCGAAAGAGCAACCCUGAACCUCCUAUGUCACUGUGACCGUGACCGAGCAUGCCUCCCAGCAGAGCAAGAACAAAUAAA
Molecule: long non-coding RNA, 433 nt
Organism: Poecilia reticulata (guppy)
Lineage: Eukaryota; Metazoa; Chordata; Actinopteri; Cyprinodontiformes; Poeciliidae
Source: RefSeq, a predicted model, not a curated record